GACGAACGCUGGCGGCGUGCUUAACACAUGCAAGUCGAACGCUGAAGCUCAGCUUUUGUUGGGUGGAUGAGUGGCGAACGGGUGAGUAACACGCGAGUAACCUGCCUCCUUCUUUGGGAUAACGCCCGGAAACGGGUGCUAAUACUGGAUAUUCACUGGUCUUCGCAUGGGGGUUGGUGGAAAGGGUUUUUCUGGUGUGGGAUGGGCUCGCGGCCUAUCAGCUUGUUGGUGGGGUGAUGGCCUACCAAGGCUUUGACGGGUAGCCGGCCUGAGAGGGUGACCGGUCACAUUGGGACGGAGAUGCGGCCCAGACUCCGACGGGAGGCGGCAGUGGGGAAUAUUGCAGAAUGGGCGCAAGCCUGAUGCAGCGACGCCGCGUGAGGGAUGGAGGCCGUCGGGUUGUGAACCUCUUCCGCACAUGGUCAAGCCGCAACAAUGGUUGUGGUGAGGGUAGUGGGUAAAGAAGCGCCGGCUAACUACGUG
Molecule: ribosomal RNA, 483 nt
Filed under: uncultured bacterium
Lineage: Bacteria
Description: partial 16S ribosomal RNA
Rfam family: Bacterial small subunit ribosomal RNA
Source: RNAcentral